RNAcentral lists this ribosomal RNA (465 nucleotides) under uncultured bacterium. RNAcentral's name for it is "partial 16S ribosomal RNA". It matches the Rfam family "Bacterial small subunit ribosomal RNA", at positions 28 to 507 of the family's 1533-position model. The record is from RNAcentral.
GACGAACGCUGGCGGCGUGCUUAACACAUGCAAGUCGAACGGAAAGGCCCCUUUGGGGGUACUCGAGUGGCGAACGGGUGAGUAACACGUGAGUAACCUGCCCUUGACUUCGGGAUAACUUCAGGAAACUGGGGCUAAUACCGGAUAGGAAUCCUUGCUGCAUGGUGGGGGUUGGAAGGCUUCGGCGGUUUUGGAUGGACUCGCGGCUUAUCAGCUUGUUGGUGGGGUAGUGGCUUACCAAGGCUUUGACGGGUAGCCGGCCUGAGAGGGCGACCGGCCACAUUGGGACUGAGAUACGGCCCAGACUCCUACGGGAGGCAGCAGUGGGGAAUAUUGCACAAUGGGCGGAAGCCUGAUGCAGCAACGCCGCGUGCGGGAUGACGGCCUUCGGGUUGUAAACCGCUUUCAGCAGGGGCGAAGCUUGUGGUGACGGUACCUGCAGAAGAAGCACCGGCUAACUACGUG